This 455-nucleotide ribosomal RNA is filed under the name Gemella morbillorum. Its description in RNAcentral is "bacterial SSU rRNA". It matches the Rfam family "Bacterial small subunit ribosomal RNA", at positions 28 to 470 of the family's 1533-position model. The record is from RNAcentral. Lineage: Bacteria; Bacillati; Bacillota; Bacilli; Caryophanales; Gemellaceae.
GACGAACGCUGGCGGCGUGCCUAAUACAUGCAAGUCGAGCGAAGUUUUUCUGGUGCUUGCACUAGAAAAACUUAGCGGCGAACGGGUGAGUAACACGUAAAGAACCUGCCUCAUAGACUGGGACAACUAUUGGAAACGAUAGCUAAUACCGGAUAACAGCAUUAACUGCAUGGUUGAUGUUUGAAAGUUGGUUAUGCUAACACUAUGAGAUGGCUUUGCGGUGCAUUAGCUAGUUGGUGGGGUAAAGGCCCACCAAGGCGACGAUGCAUAGCCGACCUGAGAGGGUGAUCGGCCACACUGGGACUGAGACACGGCCCAGACUCCUACGGGAGGCAGCAGUAGGGAAUCUUCCGCAAUGGGCGAAAGCCUGACGGAGCAACGCCGCGUGAGUGAAGAAGGAUUUCGGUUCGUAAAGCUCUGUUGUUAGGGAAGAAAGGAUAUGUAGUAACUAUACA